CGUGUUACAAUGGGGGGUACAGAGGGCCGCUACCACGCGAGUGGAUGCCAAUCCCCAAAACCUCUCUCAGUUCGGACUGGAGUCUGCAACCCGACUCCACGAAGCUGGAUUCGCUAGUAAUCGCGCAUCAGCCACGGCGCGGUGAAUACGUUCCCGGGCCUUGUACACACCGCCCGUCAAGCCAUGGGAGCCGGGGGUACCUGAAGUGCAUAACCGCGAGGAGCGCCCUAGGGUAAAACUGGUGACUGGGGCUAAGUCGUAACAAGGUAAC
Molecule: ribosomal RNA, 271 nt
Filed under: uncultured bacterium
Lineage: Bacteria
Description: partial 16S ribosomal RNA
Rfam family: Bacterial small subunit ribosomal RNA
Source: RNAcentral